This 253-nucleotide ribosomal RNA is filed under the name uncultured bacterium. Its description in RNAcentral is "partial 16S ribosomal RNA". It matches the Rfam family "Bacterial small subunit ribosomal RNA", at positions 524 to 776 of the family's 1533-position model. The record is from RNAcentral.
UACGUAGGGUGCGAGCGUUAAUCGGAAUUACUGGGCGUAAAGCGUGCGCAGGCGGUUUUGUAAGCCAGAUGUGAAAUCCCCGGGCUUAACCUGGGAAUGGCAUUUGGGACUGCAAGGCUGGAGUGUGGCAGAGGAGACUGGAAUUCCCGGUGUAGCAGUGAAAUGCGUUGAUAUCUAUCGGAACGCCGAAGGUGAAAGCAGGCCGCUGGGCCGAUUCUGACGCUGAGGUACGAAGGCGUGGGGAGCGAACGGG